RNAcentral lists this ribosomal RNA (316 nucleotides) under uncultured bacterium. Its description in RNAcentral is "bacterial SSU rRNA". It matches the Rfam family "Bacterial small subunit ribosomal RNA", at positions 8 to 334 of the family's 1533-position model. The record is from RNAcentral.
AGAGUUUGAUUAUGGCUCAGAACGAACGCUGGCGGCAGGCUUAACACAUGCAAGUUGAACGGGAUUUGUGUGGUGCUUGCACCAUAUAAUGAGAGUAGCGCACUGGUGAGUAACACGUGGGAACGUACCUUUUGGUGGGGGACAACAUCUGGAAACGGAUGCUAAUACCGCAUAAGACCUGAGGGUGAAAGAUUUAUCGCCGAAAGAACGGCCCGCGGAAGAUUAGGCAGUUGGUGGGGUAAAGGCCUACCAAACCUACGAUCUAUAGCUGGUCUGAGAGGACGAUCAGCCACACUGGAACUGAGACACGGUCCAG